UUCGCAAUGCCCGAAAGGGUGACGAAGCGACGCCGCGUGGGUGAGGAAGGCCUUCGGGUUGUAAAGCCCUGUCAGGAGUUAAGAAAUGUAGGUGUGCUAAUAUCACGCCUAUUUGACGAAGGCUCCAAAGGAAGUCACGGCUAACUCUGUGCCAGCAGCCGCGGUAAUACAGAGGUGGCAAGCGUUGUUCGGAAUUAUUGGGCGUAAAGAGCACGUAGGUGGGUUUGUAAGUCAGAUGUGAAAGCCUCCUGUUCAACGGGAGAAUUGCAUCUGAAACUACUGAUCUUGAGUGUAGGAGGGGAGAAUGGAACUUCUGGUGGAGCGGUGAAAUGCGUAGAUAUCAGAAGGAACGCCGGCGGCGAAAGCGAUUCUCUGGCCUAUUACUGACACUCAGUGUGCGAAAGCUAGGGGAGCAAACGGGAUUAGAUACCCCGGUAGUCCUAGCCGUAAACGAUGGGCACUAAGUAGAGGGGUUUU
Molecule: ribosomal RNA, 477 nt
Filed under: Candidatus Scalindua marina (nom. nud.)
Lineage: Bacteria; Pseudomonadati; Planctomycetota; Candidatus Brocadiia; Candidatus Brocadiales; Candidatus Scalinduaceae
Description: bacterial SSU rRNA
Rfam family: Bacterial small subunit ribosomal RNA
Source: RNAcentral